Rattus norvegicus (Norway rat) is the source of this 134-nucleotide small nucleolar RNA. Ensembl annotates it as small nucleolar RNA SNORA17. The record is from Ensembl. NCBI's taxonomy places the organism in Eukaryota, Metazoa, Chordata, Mammalia, Rodentia, Muridae.
CCCGUCCCCCUCGAUGGCAUUGUGGGUACGGCUGCUGUGUCACCUGUGCAUCUAUGGGUGGCAGAGAGGAGAGAGGCUAUGUCCACCUCAGCGUUCUGACCUGUGAACAUCUAGAUGAUUAGUAGCCUAACACU